GCGGUAAGGCCCUUCGGGGUACACGAGCGGCGAACGGGUGAGUAACACGUGGGUGAUCUGCCCUGCACUUCGGGAUAAGCCUGGGAAACUGGGUCUAAUACCGGAUAUGACCUCCGAUCGCAUGGUUGGUGGUGGAAAGAUUUAUCGGUGCAGGAUGGGCCCGCGGCCUAUCAGCUUGUUGGUGGGGUAAUGGCCUACCAAGGCGACGACGGGUAGCCGACCUGAGAGGGUGACCGGCCACACUGGGACUGAGACACGGCCCAGACUCCUACGGGAGGCAGCAGUGGGGAAUAUUGCACAAUGGGCGAAAGCCUGAUGCAGCGACGCCGCGUGAGGGACGACGGCCUUCGGGUUGUAAACCUCUUUCAGCAGGGACGAAGCGCAAGUGACGGUACCUGCAGAAGAAGCACCGGCUAACUACGUGCCAGCAGCCGCGGUAAUACGUAGGGUGCAAGCGUUGUCCGGAAUUACUGGGCGUAAAGAGUUCGUAGGCGGUUUGUCACGUCGUUUGUGAAAACUCACAGCUCAACUGUGAGCCUGCAGGCGAUACGGGCAGACUUGAGUACUGCAGGGGAGACUGGAAUUCCUGGUGUAGCGGUGAAAUGCGCAGAUAUCAGGAGGAACACCGGUGGCGAAGGCGGGUCUCUGGGCAGUAACUGACGCUGAGGAACGAAAGCGUGGGUAGCGAACAGGAUUAGAUACCCU
Molecule: ribosomal RNA, 705 nt
Filed under: Rhodococcus sp. 18AAIII
Lineage: Bacteria; Bacillati; Actinomycetota; Actinomycetes; Mycobacteriales; Nocardiaceae
Description: bacterial SSU rRNA
Rfam family: Bacterial small subunit ribosomal RNA
Source: RNAcentral